Catharus ustulatus (Swainson's thrush) is the source of this 590-nucleotide long non-coding RNA. RefSeq lists it as uncharacterized. The record is from RefSeq and is a predicted model, not a curated record. Lineage: Eukaryota; Metazoa; Chordata; Aves; Passeriformes; Turdidae. The transcript has 3 exons.
CAAAGAAGUCUGGUGUUUGUAAGAAGAAAUCUUUCCAAAAGUGCACAGGAGUGAUUUUCCUUGGACAUCAGAGAUUCAUGGAAACUCCAGAUCACUUCAGUAAAAUGCAGUCUCACAAGGAAGAACCUGCAACAUCUCAGAGAUCACAGUCUUAAAAAGGAUUCAAACCCAGUGAGCAAUUGCAUCUUCCAUAAGUGAAACCCAUCAAUCUUCUAAAAUCAUCUCAUGGGGAGGAGAUGUCCACAGUCAGUAAACGACUGUAACAGCAACCCAGGAGCAUUACAGCUCUGACAAACCGUGAAAUGCAGAUCCAGGGAACACAGAUCUGGGGCAGCUCUUCAAGACACAUUUUGAGAGGAUGUGCAUGGCAUGGAGGUGGUUGGAAUUUGCACCCAGAGAGAACAGGUAUGUUCCUAAUGCCAUGUGGCCCUUGGUUACCAGGAUCUAUCCUCAUACACGUGGCCUCCACAGGGAUAAUGUGUGCAGAGUACAAAGGGAUCUCUUUUCCACAGCUGGGUGCUGCACCAGGAGCAGAGGGUGGAGGGACAGAGAUGAAAUCUGUGAUUCUGAUGUGAAAAUAAGAUGCACAA